CAUGCCUUGGAGAAGCCCUGCUGUGAGGCACCCACGCAGAUCCAGACACUCACUGACCAUGGUGGGAGGUGGCACCUAUUUUAUUUUUAUGAUGAGAGGGAACCUCAAACUCUACUGUGAUGUAAGUGGUCUCAAAGGCCCUUUGAAGUCACCAUUUUAUCUAAAUCAGAAAUAGGAAAAAAAUAAGAAAUGGCCAGCUUAGAAAGACUCAAAUUCUUUUGCGGGGGGAAAAACCAGGAAGAAAGAAAAGAAAAAUACAUUGUUUCCUUGGCCAUCUGUGUGAAGAAAUAACAAAACCACCGUUGACAUACCAGCAGGAAAGAACACUGGAGAGCUUCACUUGACAGAAUUAUUACAAACGCCUCUUCCUGGUUCAGGGGGAAAAAAAAUUCCAAAUAGGUUUGUGAUAUUUUUUUCCCUAGCAUGCUUGCAACUCCCAGUAGAGCCAAUAACCAGUUUUCAAAACCUUUUGAUUCUACUCAUCCCCUGGUUAAUAAUUUCCAGUUUACCCAGCAGGCUACGUAACAUCCCCUUUCCUGGGAAAGAAUUUCUGUGCCCCGGCUGGCAGUGAACUGGUCCCCUUAGCAGCUGACCUCCUCCUCCAGCCCUGUGGCUGCCUCCUCUCCAACAGGGACCCUCCUGGUGAAAGAAAAAGAGACUUGGUAAUUCACUGAGCAUCACCCAAGACCGGGCGCAGACCUACACCCUGGCGUAUAAAAGACGUAGUACUCACGUCAUUCCUGUUUCACAGAUGCACAGACUUACUCUUGGAGAGGCUCCUCCCAAAAGUCACCCAGCUGAUUUUCAUCCACUUGGCUCCCCAAGUUGCUGCUCGACCGCUCUCUGACCUGGAUUCACUGAGGACACAUCAGGCCUUUGCCACGGGCUCCAUGGAGUGGCCGGAGCCCAGGGCUGGGUGAGUGUGGGGUGGGUCUGAAGGGGAGGACGUGCAUCUAGAGGCCAGGCCAGCCCCUGCAGGAUUUUCUGAUGUCAAAUCGCCUGUCCUGUGCCCGAGCCCUAUCGCCUUAGCAGAAUGAGGACACGUGCCUCCCCUGGGCCUCCCCACCGUGGCCUGAGUGAGUGUCUCUCCGGCUGCAGUGUUUGCAGUCAGCAGGUCAAGAGGGGACCCUCCUGCCCUGCUCCCAUGGGGCUGCUGCUCCUUCUAGCAGUCCCAGCUUAACACCCACACUUCUUAUACUGGUCCCAGGGCCCUCUAUGGGUUAGGGUGUAGAAGGAGGUUGUGUUGGUUAAAAACACCAGGUGGAAAUCUCUUUUCUCUGAAUGCUGAUGGAGUGCUGUUAGGGAGACAGUUCUUUUCAGUCUAGUUGGAUCCUGGGUGAAGACUCAGGCCUCGCUCAAGAAGGGAGACCACCCAUAUGUGCUGUCACGUGUUUCCAGGGAGGAGGCUGGAAGUCCAAGAUCAAGGUCCUAGUAGGUUUGGCCUCUGGUGAGGGCUCUCUUCAUGGCCAGGAGCUUCUCCCACUCCUGGGCACAGAUGGGCCCUGUUAGACUGUUGCCUUGCUCCCAAUCAAUCAUGCCCCCUCCCACUGCCUCUGGGGUUGUGUCUGUGAUGUCCUCUUCCUGGGGACAAAUGCAGCUUCAGCUGCUAUAGGCUGGGACUGUGGCCCUCCCUGCACCAGUCCCAGGGCCCAGCUUCCCCAGGCCACUAGCGUUGCUCCAGGAACAGUGUCCAAGUCAGUCCCGACUGCUAAUAGAAUCCCACGGACUGAGUGGCUUCAGGAACAGGAAUUUAUUUCUCACAGUUCUGGAAGUCCAAGAUCAGGGUGCUGGCAGAUUUGGCUCCUGGUAAGGGCUCUCUUCAGGCUUGCAGACAGCUGCCUUCUUGCUGUAACCUCACAUGGUGGAGAGAAAACUCUGGUGUCUCUUCCUUUUCUUAUAACGGCACUAAUUCCAUCAUGGAUCCCCCCACCCUCAUGACCUCAUUGAAACCUAAUGACCUUUCAGAGGCCCCACUUCCUAAUACUGUCACACUGGGGGUAGGGCUUCCACAUACCAAUUUGGAGACACACAAACAUUUAGUCCAUAAAAAAUGGGCAGGUGGCCCAGACUAAGCUAAUCACAUCCUUUCCUGGGCCUGUCAGGAACCUUCUCUGGCUUUUGGUUUGUUUGUAUUUUAAAAUAGAAAUAGGCAGAUCUGUGAGAAGGUGAGGUGAGAGUUGCAGGCAGCCACCUACCUGCCCAGGGGAGGAGGCCCUUUUGCAAUAGGAAAGAAUGAAAACAGCACAAAGAGAGACGUGGAGGAGGAAGACGGAGAAGGAGGGGCGCUUUCGCCUCCCUGGACCCAGUGGGCCCUGAGAUCUGCUUCUAACCUGUCUUUUCUCUAUUGAUUUUUGUCAGCUAAUAAGUCUUUCUUUCUACAUAUAUUCAUUGAAGUUCCAUUUGUUUUCCUUGCCAGUAAAAGAAUGCUGACAACCUCAGGAUUGGGCAAGGAGCUAGUCCUUUUCCCCUCUUGAGAGAUGGGGUAGCAGAGUAGUAGGAGCAGAGCGGCCAGGCUGUCUGGAUUUGAAGUUGUACGUGUUGGUCUGGGCAAAAUUUUCAACUUCCUGCGCCUCAGUUUCUUAUCUGUAAAGUGGGGUUAAUAAUAGUGCCCACCUCGUGCAGUCAGGGAUGAGGAUUAAGUGAGUUAUAUGUGUAAGGUGCUUUGCACACUGCCUGGUGUGCAGUCAGCUCAGCAUCUGUGAGCUGAUUUCCAUCUCCCUUGGGUCUUGUGGCCUGUGAACACAGCCUUACUUGGCGCAAGUGCUGAAGGAAAUGGAACGCACCCUGAGUGAGACAGCAGUACUCUCUUGUGACCCAGUUAGUAGCCAGCUGGCAGAUUUCUGGUAUUGCUCACUGCUGAGGGGCCGCUGGGUGCCUGAUGAGUCCUGGGAAAUGCCUGGGGCAGGGUGGCUGGCCUGGGCCUGUCUGCCCUGGGUUGCCCCUCCCAGAGCUCUCAGCAUGGCAGCACUAAGGCCAGCUGGACCCUACUUGGGAGGAUAGAGAAGUGGAAAGAACCCUGGGCCUGCAACCCAGCAGUUGUACACCGUGGUUUCCUAGAGGAACUCAUGCACAUGUGUCCUGGAGACCUGCAAGAGGACAGCACCAUGGAGAUGACCAGCAACUAAUACCACCCAAAGGUCCACCAACAGGAGAAUGGAUACCCCAGCAGGGGUGCAUGCAUGCAACGGAACACACCACGUACUGGUGAGAGUGAAUCAAUGUCGGUCACACGCAUCAACGCCGAUGAGGCUGAGACUCGUAAUAUCAAAUUUAGAAUUGCAAGUAGCAGAAGGAUCAAAGUUAUAUUUGUAAUAAAGCUUAAACACAAGCAAAUCGAGCACUGUAUUGUUUAGGCACACAUUCACAUUUGGUAAAGACAUAAAGCAAAGCAAGGGAACGAGACAAAAAUGAAAUCCCAGAGUAAUCAGGUGGUCAGGUCUUGGGGGGUGGCGUGGAGUUGGGGAAGGGCAUCAGAGUGGAUCUCACCUCAGCUCCGACUGCUUUGGGAAGUUCUAGUUCUGACAUGGAGUGGUGGGUUCACAGCUGUUUGAUUGCUUGUUAUGCUUUAUAACAAUAUAAACUGCAUAUGUUCAGUUGAAAUAUUUCAUAAUAAAGGUUUUUUAAAAAAGAACAUUGGGCUCAUCUUUCCCAUCAGAUACAGGCAUUUUUGUUUUGAAUUUCUAUUUCCUUUUUUUAAUGAGCAAGGAUCGUUUGCCUCUGAAAAUAUAAAUUAAAAAAAAAAAUAAGGCUGGGCACAGUGGCUCACGCCUGUCAUCCUAGUACUUUGGGAGGCCGAGGUGGGUGGAUCACUUGAAGUCAGGAGUUCGAGACCAGCCUGGGCAACAUGGUGAAACCCCAUCUCUACCAAAAAUAUAAAAAAUUAGCCAGGCGUGGAGGCGUGCGUCUGUAAUCCCAGCUACUUGGGAGGCUGAGGCAGGAGAAUCGCUUGAACCCGGGGGGCAGAGGUUGCACGAGCCGACAUUGUGUCACUGCACUCCAGCCUGGGUGACAGAGCGAGACUCCAUCUCAAAAAUAAAUAAAUUAUUUAAAUAUUUUUUUAGAAAAAGCACUGGAUUUGCAGUUGGGAGCACAAGACUUGGGGUUGCCCCUUCCCACAACCACUGUCAUUGCUGGGACCUCUGCAGCCAUCUCCUCCCGGCCUCCAUCCUCACCCACUCCAUUUCAGUCUCUGUUUGGCCCCCAGCUGAGUUAUCUUUGUAACCAUAAAUGGCAUUCGCUCAUUUUACUGCUUCCUGAAGUCCAAGCCUGUUCUUUUCAACCAUGUUUCUCCCUGUUCCUCUUCACCAUUUGUAUGUAGCCAGAUGUAGAGUUCAUGGAACCAAAAACCUGCCUUCUGCUUCUGUGUCUUUGCUCAAGCUGUACCUGGGAAAAUAAGUCAUCAGGUCUGAGCACCAGCGUCUGGGUCUCAGUGCUCAGCAUGCAAAAGAGACUGGGUUUAGGCUCUGUCACUCACCAUGAAUUCUACACGGAAUGACUUUUCUGUCCCUAAGUGAUCCUUCCAGGCUCAUUUCAGGCAACACCUCUUCCAGGAAGCCUUCCCUGAUAUCCAGCCUUUAUUCUCACAGCUCCUCUGGUAAUCCCUAUCAAAGUACCCUGAGAUUUCCACAGUACUUUGGAAUUUUCUGUGUAUGUGCCUCCUCCACUAGACUACCUACUCCCCAAAGGCAAAAACUGGGUCUUAUUUUGUUUGUCUCAAUAGCAACUGUACCAGCCGUGGCAUGGUGGCACUCAAAUGGUAACGCCCUGAGGGAAAGGUUUUGCCUGUUUUGCUCAUCUAUGUAUUCUAAGUGCCUAGAACACUGCCUGGCAUAUGGUAGCUGUGCUGCAAAUGGUUAUCGAGUGAAUGAAUAAAUGUUAACCUGUACUGAGUACUGAGUAAAGUUCUAUUGCUUGGAAGCUGUGUGAGCUUUGGUGAGACACUUAACGUCUCUGAGCCUCCCUUUCUCCCUCUGUCAAUGGGGAGAUUAAUAGUACUAUUCUUGAAGGAUCACCAUGAGAUUUGGCAGAAAGAUGCAUGUGACAGAGCCUAGAAAAUGGCAGGUGCACAGCCCGCGCUGCUUCAUAUGGAUUUAACCCUGGCCCCAGUGGCCUCAGGCAAAUUCCCAGUGGCUCUGAGGUUGUCCAUCUGAGCUCAGAGUCCCCGCUCAGCCUCCCUGGGUGGUCCAUGGGAAAAGGGGGUCGCAGGUCUGUGCUCCUCCUCCUUAGCCACGGGCCAGUGACCCCUAGGGUCACCUCUGACUGCUGGGUCCGUGGAUCUAUUGUGCAGGGCCUGUUGGUGGCUGGGCAGCCUCACUGAGUCUCCAGAGCCCAGCUGGUCAGUGCAGCCAAGGUCAUGGUCCUCAUUCCUUGAAUGGCUCUUUCUUUAAAUUGACGCAAACUCUUCUUCAGCAGCCACAGGUAGCUCCUAACGCAGCCAGCUGUCUGAGCACUCUCUUAGGUCCCUUUGGGUCCUAAAAUGC
Molecule: long non-coding RNA, 5480 nt
Filed under: Homo sapiens (human)
Lineage: Eukaryota; Metazoa; Chordata; Mammalia; Primates; Hominidae
Description: HSALNT0098041
Source: RNAcentral